This 209-nucleotide unclassified non-coding RNA is filed under the name Hevea brasiliensis (rubber tree). Lineage: Eukaryota; Viridiplantae; Streptophyta; Magnoliopsida; Malpighiales; Euphorbiaceae. The record is from RNAcentral.
AAGUGAUGAAGAACAAGUUCUCAAUUCACUACGGCCACAUCAAAGUCUGUCAGGCCUUUCAAUUAUAUCAUUUGGUGGAAGGAAAUUCCCACCGUGGCUAGGAGAUCCUUCAUUCACUAGCAUAGUAGAGGUGAAUCUGAGCCAUUGUUCUCAAAUCACAUCGUUGCCACCACUUGGACGACUACAGUCACUAAAAAAGUUGAGCAUAG